Molecule: transfer RNA, 65 nt
Filed under: Chorotypus fenestratus
Lineage: Eukaryota; Metazoa; Arthropoda; Insecta; Orthoptera; Chorotypidae
Description: tRNA-Phe
Rfam family: tRNA
About the family: Transfer RNA (tRNA) molecules are approximately 80 nucleotides in length. Their secondary structure includes four short double-helical elements and three loops (D, anti-codon, and T loops).
Source: RNAcentral
ACUUAUAUAGCUUAAUCUUAGAGUGAUACAUUGAAGAUGUAUUGGUGAUUUAAAAUCUUUAAGUA